RNAcentral lists this ribosomal RNA (216 nucleotides) under Glomeromycotina sp. RNAcentral's name for it is "partial small subunit ribosomal RNA". The stretch from base 44 to 216 matches the Rfam family "Eukaryotic small subunit ribosomal RNA", at positions 690 to 864 of the family's 1831-position model. Lineage: Eukaryota; Fungi; Glomeromycota. The record is from RNAcentral.
GGGUCAGUAGGUUGGUCGUGCCACCGGUACGUACUGGUCACACUGAUUCCUCCUUCCUGAAGAACCGUAAUGCCAUUAAUUUGGUGUUGCGGGGAAACAGGACUAUUACUUUGAAAAAAUUAGAGUGUUUAAAGCAAGCUAACGCUUGAAUACAUUAGCAUGGAAUAAUGAAAUAGGACGAUCGAUCCUAUUUUGUUGGUUUCUAGGAUUGACGUA